This 315-nucleotide ribosomal RNA is filed under the name uncultured bacterium. Its description in RNAcentral is "partial 16S ribosomal RNA". It matches the Rfam family "Bacterial small subunit ribosomal RNA", at positions 498 to 808 of the family's 1533-position model. The record is from RNAcentral.
UGUAUAAGUGACAGCAGCAGCCGCGGUAAUACGUAGGGGGCAAGCGUUAUCCGGAACUAUUGGGCGUAAAGAGUGCGUAGGUGGUCUACUAAGCGCGAGGUGAAAGGCAAUGGCUCAACCAUUGUUAGCCUUGCGAACUGGCAGACUUGAGUGCAAGAGAGGAAAGCGGAAUUCCUAGUGUAGCGGUGAAAUGCGCAGAUAUUUGUAGGAAUGCCGAUGGGGAAGCCAGCUUACUGGACAGAUACUGACGCUAAAGCGCGAAAGCGUGGGUAGCAAACAGGAUUAGAGACCCCUGUAGUCCCUGUCUCUUAUACA